GACGAACGCUGGCGGCGUGCUUAACACAUGCAAGUCGAACGGAAAGGCCCUGCUUUUGUGGGGUGCUCGAGUGGCGAACGGGUGAGUAACACGUGAGUAACCUGCCCUUGACUUUGGGAUAACUUCAGGAAACUGGGGCUAAUACCGGAUAGGAGCUCCUGCUGCAUGGUGGGGGUUGGAAAGUUUCGGCGGUUGGGGAUGGACUCGCGGCUUAUCAGCUUGUUGGUGGGGUAGUGGCUUACCAAGGCUUUGACGGGUAGCCGGCCUGAGAGGGUGACCGGCCACAUUGGGACUGAGAUACGGCCCAGACUCCUACGGGAGGCAGCAGUGGGGAAUAUUGCACAAUGGGCGGAAGCCUGAUGCAGCAACGCCGCGUGCGGGAUGACGGCCUUCGGGUUGUAAACCGCUUUCGCCUGUGACGAAGCGUGAGUGACGGUAAUGGGUAAAGAAGCACCGGCUAACUACGUGCCAGCAGCCGCGGUGAUACGUAGGGUGCGAGCGUUGUCCGGAUUUAUUGGGCGUAAAGGGCUCGUAGGUGGUUGAUCGCGUCGGAAGUGUAAUCUUGGGGCUUAACCCUGAGCGUGCUUUCGAUACGGGUUGACUUGAGGAAGGUAGGGGAGAAUGGAAUUCCUGGUGGAGCGGUGGAAUGCGCAGAUAUCAGGAAGAACACCAGUGGCGAAGGCGGUUCUCUGGGCCUUUCCUGACGCUGAGGAGCGAAAGCGUGGGGAGCGAACAGGCUUAGAUACCCUGGUAGUCCACGCUGUAAACGGUGGGUACUAGGUGUGGGGUCCAUUCCACGGGUUCCGUGCCGUAGCUAACGCUUUAAGUACCCCGCCUGGGGAGUACGGCCGCAAGGCUAAAACUCAAAGGAAUUGACGGGGCCCCGCACAAGCGGCGGAGCAUGCGGAUUAAUUCGAUGCAACGCGUAGAACCUUACCUGGGUUUGACAUGGAUCGGGAGCGCUCAGAGAUGGGUGUGCCUCUUUUGGGGUCGGUUCACAGGUGGUGCAUGGCUGUCGUCAGCUCGUGUCGUGAGAUGUUGGGUUAAGUCCCGCAACGAGCGCAACCCUUGUUCACUGUUGCCAGCACGUUAUGGUGGGGACUCAGUGGAGACCGCCGGGGUCAACUCGGAGGAAGGUGGGGAUGACGUCAAGUCAUCAUGCCCCUUAUGUCCAGGGCUUCACGCAUGCUACAAUGGCUGGUACAGAGAGUGGCGAGCCUGUGAGGGUGAGCGAAUCUCGGAAAGCCGGUCUCAGUUCGGAUUGGGGUCUGCAACUCGACCUCAUGAAGUCGGAGUCGCUAGUAAUCGCAGAUCAGCAACGCUGCGGUGAAUACGUUCCCGGGGCU
RNAcentral lists this ribosomal RNA (1346 nucleotides) under uncultured bacterium. Its description in RNAcentral is "bacterial SSU rRNA". It matches the Rfam family "Bacterial small subunit ribosomal RNA", at positions 28 to 1381 of the family's 1533-position model. The record is from RNAcentral.